This 446-nucleotide ribosomal RNA is filed under the name uncultured bacterium. RNAcentral describes it as "bacterial SSU rRNA". It matches the Rfam family "Bacterial small subunit ribosomal RNA", at positions 330 to 795 of the family's 1533-position model. The record is from RNAcentral.
UCCAGACUCCUACGGGAGGCAGCAGUAGGGAAUAUUGCUCAAUGGGGGAAACCCUGAAGCAGCAACGCCGCGUGGAGGAUGAAGGUUUUCGGAUUGUAAACUCCUUUUGUUAGAGAAGAUAAUGACGGUAUCUAACGAAAAAGCAUCGGCUAACUCCGUGCCAGCAGCCGCGGUAAUACGGAGGAUGCGAGCGUUAUCCGGAUUUAUUGGGUUUAAAGGGUGCGUAGGCGGUCCGUUAAGUCAGCGGUAAAAUUGCGGGGCCCAACCCCGUCGAGCCGUUGAAACUGGCAGACUUGAGUUGGCGAGAAGUACGCGGGAUGCGCGGUGUAGCGGUGAAAUGCAUAGAUAUCGCGCAGAACUCCGAUUGCGAAGGCAGCGUACCGGCGCCAGACUGACGCUGAGGCACGAAAGCGUGGGGAUCGAACAGGAUUAGAUACCCCCGUAUC